GACGAACGCUGGCGGCGUGCCUAAUACAUGCAAGUAGAACGCACAGUUUAUACCGUAGCUUGCUACACCAUAGACUGUGAGUUGCGAACGGGUGAGUAACGCGUAGGUAACCUGCCUGGUAGCGGGGGAUAACUAUUGGAAACGAUAGCUAAUACCGCAUAAUAUUAAUUAUUGCAUGAUAAUUAAUUGAAAGGUGCAAUUGCACCACUACCAGAUGGACCUGCGUUGUAUUAGCUAGUAGGUGAGGUAACGGCUCACCUAGGCGACGAUACAUAGCCGACCUGAGAGGGUGAUCGGCCACACUGGGACUGGGACCCGGCCCAGACUCCUACGGGAGGCAGCAGUAGGGAAUCUUCGGCAAUGGACGAAAGGCUGAACGAGCAACGCCGCGUGAGUGAAGAAGGUUUUCGGAUCGUAAAGUUCUGUUGUAAGAGGAGAACGGGUGUGAGAGUUGAAAGUUCACGCUGUGGCGGUAUCUUACCAGAAAGGGACGGCUAACUACGUG
RNAcentral lists this ribosomal RNA (505 nucleotides) under uncultured bacterium. RNAcentral's name for it is "partial 16S ribosomal RNA". It matches the Rfam family "Bacterial small subunit ribosomal RNA", at positions 28 to 507 of the family's 1533-position model. The record is from RNAcentral.